RNAcentral lists this ribosomal RNA (465 nucleotides) under uncultured bacterium. Its description in RNAcentral is "partial 16S ribosomal RNA". It matches the Rfam family "Bacterial small subunit ribosomal RNA", at positions 28 to 507 of the family's 1533-position model. The record is from RNAcentral.
GACGAACGCUGGCGGCGUGCUUAACACAUGCAAGUCGUACGGUAAGGCCCUUUCGGGGGUACACGAGUGGCGAACGGGUGAGUAACACGUGAGUAACCUGCCCACAACUUUGGGAUAACGCUAGGAAACUGGUGCUAAUACUGGAUAUGUGCUCCUGCUGCAUGGUGGGGGUUGGAAAGCUCCGGCGGUUGUGGAUGGACUCGCGGCCUAUCAGCUUGUUGGUGGGGUAGUGGCCUACCAAGGCGGCGACGGGUAGCCGGCCUGAGAGGGUGACCGGCCACAUUGGGACUGAGAUACGGCCCAGACUCCUACGGGAGGCAGCAGUGGGGAAUAUUGCACAAUGGGCGCAAGCCGGAUGCAGCAACGCCGCGGGCGGGAGGACGGCCUUCGGGUUGUAAACCGCUUUCAGCAGGGACGAAGCUUUUUGUGACGGUACCUGCAGAAGAAGCACCGGCUAACUACGUG